This 507-nucleotide ribosomal RNA is filed under the name uncultured bacterium. RNAcentral describes it as "bacterial SSU rRNA". It matches the Rfam family "Bacterial small subunit ribosomal RNA", at positions 29 to 518 of the family's 1533-position model. The record is from RNAcentral.
AACGAACGCUGGCGGCGCGUCUUAAGCAUGCAAGUCGAGCGGUAAGUUGGAAGCUUGCUUCUAACCUAGAGCGGCGGACUGGUGAGUAACGCGUGGGUGACGUACCUCUGUGACGGGGACAGCUCCUAGAAAUAGGAGAUAAUACCGGAUACGCUGCAUGUUGUCAGAGGACAUGCAGGAAAGGAUCUUUUGAUUCGCACAGAGAGCGGCCCGCGUACUAUUAGCUUGUUGGUGAGGUAACGGCCCACCAAGGCGACGAUAGUUACCCGGCCUAAGAGGGUGAUCGGGCACAUUGGGACUGAGAUACGGCCCAGACUCCUACGGGAGGCAGCAGCUAAGAAUAUUCCGCAAUGGACGAAAGUCUGACGGAGCGACGCCGCGUGGAUGAUGAAAGGCCGGAAGGUUGUAAAAUCCUUUUAUGACUGAGGAAUAAGCAGGGUGAGAGAAACGCCUUGUGGUGACUGUAGGUCAUGAAUAAGCAACGGCUAAUUACGUGCCAGCCGCCGC